RNAcentral lists this ribosomal RNA (460 nucleotides) under uncultured bacterium. Its description in RNAcentral is "partial 16S ribosomal RNA". It matches the Rfam family "Bacterial small subunit ribosomal RNA", at positions 338 to 795 of the family's 1533-position model. The record is from RNAcentral.
CCUACGGGAGGCAGCAGUGAGGAAUAUUGGUCAAUGGACGAGAGUCUGAACCAGCCAAGUAGCGUGAAGGAUGACUGCCCUAUGGGUUGUAAACUUCUUUUAUAUGGGAAUAAAACGUUCCACGUGUGGGAUUUUGUAUGUACCAUAUGAAUAAGGAUCGGCUAACUCCGUGCCAGCAGCCGCGGUAAUACGGAGGAUCCGAGCGUUAUCCGGAUUUAUUGGGUUUAAAGGGAGCGUAGGUGGAUUGUUAAGUCAGUUGUGAAAGUUUGCGGCUCAACCGUAAAAUUGCAGUUGAUACUGGCAGUCUUGAGUACAGUAGAGGUAGGCGGAAUUCGUGGUGUAGCGGUGAAAUGCUUAGAUAUCACGAAGAACUCCGAUUGCGAAGGCAGUUCACUGGACUGCAACUGACACUGAGGCUCGAAAGUGUGGGUAUCAAACAGGAUUAGAUACCCUGGUAGUC